This is a non-coding RNA of Mycena leptocephala, 95 nucleotides long. The record is from the annotation of a GenBank genome assembly. NCBI's taxonomy places the organism in Eukaryota, Fungi, Basidiomycota, Agaricomycetes, Agaricales, Mycenaceae.
UCGGGUGUGGUGUACGGUACACACUUCCUUCUCUUGCUGGGUGGCAACAAGAUGGGUGAAAGGAAGAGAUCCGGGUUUGACUCCCGCCGCCCGAA